RNAcentral lists this ribosomal RNA (253 nucleotides) under uncultured bacterium. Its description in RNAcentral is "partial 16S ribosomal RNA". It matches the Rfam family "Bacterial small subunit ribosomal RNA", at positions 524 to 776 of the family's 1533-position model. The record is from RNAcentral.
UACGGAAGGUGCAAGCGUUGUUCGGAAUGACUGGGCGUAAAGAGCGCGUAGGCGGGAAAGUAAGUCAGUUGUGAAAGCCCAAGGCUCAACCUUGGAAUAGCAAUUGAUACUGCUUUUCUUGAAUGCUUAAGAGGGUGGCGGAAUUCCAGGUGUAGGAGUGAAAUCCGUAGAUAUCUGGAGGAACAUCAGAGGCGAAGGCGGCCACCUGGUGAUGCAUUGACGCUGAGGCGCGAAAGCGUGGGUAGCAAACAGG